This 492-nucleotide ribosomal RNA is filed under the name uncultured bacterium. RNAcentral describes it as "partial 16S ribosomal RNA". It matches the Rfam family "Bacterial small subunit ribosomal RNA", at positions 29 to 507 of the family's 1533-position model. The record is from RNAcentral.
AGUGAACGCUGGCGGUAGGCCUAACACAUGCAAGUCGAACGGCAGCACAGUAAGAGCUUGCUCUUACGGGUGGCGAGUGGCGGACGGGUGAGGAAUACAUCGGAAUCUACUUUUUCGUGGGGGAUAACGUAGGGAAACUUACGCUAAUACCGCAUACGACCUACGGUUGAAAGCAGUGGAUCUUCGGACCUUGCGCGAUUGAAUGAGCCGAUGUCGGAUUAGAGAGUUGGCGGGGGAAAGGCCCACCAAGGCGACGAUCCGUAGCUGGUCUGAGAGGAUGAUCAGCCACACUGGAACUGGAACACGGUCCAGACUCCUACGGGAGGCAGCAGUGGGGAAUAUUGGACAAUGGGCGCAAGCCUGAUCCAGCCAUACCGCGUGGGUGACGAAGGCCUUCGGGUUGUAAAGCCCUUUUGUUGGGAAAGAAAAGCAGCAGGUUAAUACCCCGCUGUUCUGACGGUACCCAAAGAAUAAGCACCGGCUAACUUCGUG